RNAcentral lists this unclassified non-coding RNA (238 nucleotides) under plant metagenome. Its description in RNAcentral is "partial contains small subunit ribosomal RNA, internal transcribed spacer 1, and 5.8S ribosomal RNA". The record is from RNAcentral.
GUUUCCGUAGGUGAACCUGCGGAAGGAUCAUUAAUGAGAACUAAGGGUAGUAGUCUCGGCUAUUACUCUGAACACUCCACCCUUUGUUUAUAUUACCUUUGUUGCUUUAGCAGGCCCGCUCUCGAGCCGCCGGCACCUGCUGGCUAGUGCCUGCUAAAGAACCUAAAACUCUUGUUAAUAAUAUUGUCUGAGUACUAUAUAAUAGUUAAAACUUUCAACAACGGAUCUCUUGGUUCUG